This 781-nucleotide small RNA is filed under the name Pan troglodytes (chimpanzee). RNAcentral describes it as "processed transcript". The record is from RNAcentral. Lineage: Eukaryota; Metazoa; Chordata; Mammalia; Primates; Hominidae.
CGGCGUGCCCCGCAACAGCUUCCGGCGUGACGCAGUAGAAAAGGUGGCGUGGCUGGCGAUUCGUGUUCGUGAGGGCCUUUUCUGGUGUACCCUCAAUUCUUGAAUGUUCUAACUUCUAGCAGCAGAAUAACAAAAGGCAACCCUGGGCUUGGCCAGCUCAAACAGGAAGAAAGCAAGGUGCUAAGUACCCAGCCAGCAUAGGCUCAGGCUGUGAAAGGCAAGGCCAUGCUAGAGAAAAAGGGAGAAGAUGGACCUGGUCUGGAGGCCUAACCAGCAGUCUGACAAUGCAUAGUGAAACUCCAUGGGAAAAGAUGACAUGAACUUAGUUGAAAGAGGUUGGCAAAUGCAAAAUCAGGGCUGUAAAAUGCAAGGGGAAUAACCUUUAACUCCAUGAAAACCAAAACUUGGAUAGGGUCACACAUCAAGAUGAUGAUGAUGCCAGGAUCAGUGACAGAUCCUACUCAACUGCUAGGCUAAUGGCCUCUAAAGUGGACUUUGCCAUCCUUUGACCAUCAGAGCCAAGGGAGUCUUACCAAGUCUGUUUGGGAACAGCACUGGCAGGUCUAGUUUCCUGACUUCCUGGUCAGGAUUCCUGAAGUCCUUUUCAUCCCCGUCUGCACCAUCCACAGUGCCAUCUUCUACCUCCGUGGGUUCCCCAUUCUGGUGAUUCAGCUCUCCAGCCUCAAUAUCACUUCCUUCUUGGCCAGGAACAGCAUCGCUUGCCAUAGGAGGUGCAGAGGCCCAGGAGCCUGAAAGAGCAUUCAUUUCCUCAUAAAAGAUA